This 631-nucleotide long non-coding RNA is filed under the name Pongo abelii (Sumatran orangutan). RNAcentral's name for it is "lincRNA". Lineage: Eukaryota; Metazoa; Chordata; Mammalia; Primates; Hominidae. The record is from RNAcentral.
CCUCGUCUCUACUAAAAACACAAAAUUAUCCGGGCAUGGUGGCACAUGCUUGUAAUCCCAGCUACUCAGGAAGGCUGAGGCAGGAGAAUCACUUGAACCCAGGAGGCAGAGGUUGCAGUGAGCAGAGAUGGAGCCAUUGCACUCCAGCCUGAGCAACAAGAGUGAAAAAAAAAAGAAAAGAGCUAAAUUAUAUGGUGCUUUGGAAGCUGGGACCACAUGGACUCUUAAGAGGGAUGGCACCUUCUAAGAGGUUCCAAGGGCAGAAACAAGGGGCAGUUCCACUGGGUUUCAGACACAGAGAUCCCAGCCUGGAUUAUCGUGGAGGAUGAAGCUGCUCCAUCUUGGAUGCUGAUCCGCCAUGUUGUCCUCUGGUUAACCCCUGUUCUGGAAUGCCUCCUCUAAGAUUGCCACUUUAGCUACUGUGACCUUAAAUCCUGCUCUUAGAUAGAUUCACAUAGCAUUCUGCGCCUUUCCCUGAGGGGUUGACUUCAGUGGUGCCACACAUUUCUACUGAGGCAUUUAUACCUUUCUGGUCAGGUAUAUCAGCCCUGGGACUCGGGGAUAACUGACCGACAGCCGCCUGGCUUCUGUUUCUAAGUCACUAUUAAAUGUUUCUUUCAGAGUAACUGGA